RNAcentral lists this ribosomal RNA (696 nucleotides) under uncultured bacterium. RNAcentral's name for it is "bacterial SSU rRNA". It matches the Rfam family "Bacterial small subunit ribosomal RNA", at positions 32 to 715 of the family's 1533-position model. The record is from RNAcentral.
AACGCUAGCUACAGGCUUAACACAUGCAAGUCGAGGGGAAACGACAUCGAAAGCUUGCUUUUGAUGGGCGUCGACCGGCGCACGGGUGAGUAACGCGUAUCCAACCUGCCCACCACUUGGGGAUAACCUUGCGAAAGUAAGACUAAUACCCAAUGACGUCUCUAGAAGACAUCUGAAGGAGAUUAAAGAUUUAUCGGUGAUGGAUGGGGAUGCGUCUGAUUAGCUUGUUGGCGGGGUAACGGCCCACCAAGGCGACGAUCAGUAGGGGUUCUGAGAGGAAGGUCCCCCACAUUGGAACUGAGACACGGUCCAAACUCCUACGGGAGGCAGCAGUGAGGAAUAUUGGUCAAUGGACGUAAGUCUGAACCAGCCAAGUAGCGUGCAGGAUGACGGCCCUAUGGGUUGUAAACUGCUUUUAUGCGGGGAUAAAGUGGGGGAUGUAUCCCUUUUUGCAGGUACCGCAUGAAUAAGGACCGGCUAAUUCCGUGCCAGCAGCCGCGGUAAUACGGAAGGUCCGGGCGUUAUCCGGAUUUAUUGGGUUUAAAGGGAGCGUAGGCCGGCUUUUAAGCGUGUUGUGAAAUGCCGCGGCUCAACCGUGGCACUGCAGCGCGAACUGGAGGCCUUGAGUGCGCGGGAGGUAGGCGGAAUUCGUGGUGUAGCGGUGAAAUGCUUAGAUAUCACGAAGAACUCCGAUUG